RNAcentral lists this ribosomal RNA (253 nucleotides) under uncultured bacterium. RNAcentral's name for it is "partial 16S ribosomal RNA". It matches the Rfam family "Bacterial small subunit ribosomal RNA", at positions 524 to 776 of the family's 1533-position model. The record is from RNAcentral.
UACGUAGGGUGCAAGCGUUGUCUGGAAUUAUUGGGCGUAAAGAGCUCGUAGGCGGUUCGUCGCGUCGGCUGUGAAAUCCCGAGGCUCAACCUCGGGUCUGCAGUCGAUACGGGCGGACUGGAGUUCGGCAGGGGAGACUGGAAUUCCUGGUGUAGCGGUGAAAUGCGCAGAUAUCAGGAGGAACACCUAUAGCGAAGGCAGCUUGCUGGGACGUUACUGACGCUAAGGCGCGAAAGCGUGGGGAGCGAACAGG